This is an RNA transcript of Pieris brassicae (large cabbage white), 2829 nucleotides long. It is a transcript of the gene named shootin-1-like, with no coding region annotated. The record is from RefSeq and is a predicted model, not a curated record. Lineage: Eukaryota; Metazoa; Arthropoda; Insecta; Lepidoptera; Pieridae. The transcript has 7 exons.
UGUCAAAAUAAUUCGUCUAAUAAGUCCAUCCAAUCAAAAUGAACGUUUUCGCCACCUUCUAAUCUAAUCUGUGUCGUAACAUUUUUGGAAACUCAAUAUGAGGGUAUUAUAAAAAAGUAGUAAUUAAUUUAGUUCAAACACAACAGUAUCCUGUAUAACGGCCUAAAUACUACUCUUUUUGCCGCUAGUAAUUUUUAAAACAAUGUUAUUGUAUCUUACAUAAAAGACGUUGCUUUUUGUUAUACUGGUAGGUAAUAAUUUAAAAUGGCAUGUACUGAUAAAAAAGAAAAUACAGUUCACAGCGUCGAUAGUGACGUAUUUGAUGUAGAAGAUCAGCAUCAAAGUGAUGAAAAUGAAGGCGACUCAAUAGAACUCAUACGAAGAUGUAAUAGAGAAACUGAUAUCGAUACAUCUUGGGAUCAAAGUCGAUACAGUGAUUUAAAACUGAGUGAUAACAAUAAAACACCACCAUUUCAGCCAGUUAUAAUGUCUGACGUAAGUCCUAGCAGCAGGACAAAUACCUCAACACAGACCGAUAUAAGACAGGAUGAAGAUAUGACGGGUAUUAAUUUGUCGUUUAGUAAAUAUUUUGACAUGGAGGAUUCUAGUUCCUCCGAGAGUGUAGGGAAAAGACUCCGUCGAGUUUCACAAGAAGAAUAUCAACGCCCAUGCAAGAAGACUAAAUGUGAUGAUUCUGUUCUAUCAGAAAGAGAGGUAAACAUUGGUACAUCAAACUCCACAAGUCAUAUUUUAUCCUCCGAAUCGGAGGUGUCCUUCGUAUCUGUGAACAGUAACUACUCCUAUAAGACACGUAAAAAAAGACGACGGUCAGAGUCGACCUUGCUUAGAGAUGCCCUGCAAAGAGCUGGCAAAAAUUUUCACACAAAUACUUCAGUGUCUGGGAGUCCUAGAAAGGAUAAAAAUCUGCGCAGGAGCGUAAGGACGAAAUCUUGGCGAGUGAUGGAUUUGUGCACUUGGAUCGGGAGAAAGGGGUAUCAGUCCAUUACUGGUCUCUAUGCGGACAUGUUAAAGGAACCUAUCAAAGGAAAGGAGAAGAAAGAUGAAAGAUUAUCAGAGGACCUGUUGGAUCUGAAGAAAAAUGUGGAAGAUAUGAAGCACGAAUUGAAGGGACUUAAGAAAUUCGUAGAAGAAAUGAACCAGGAAAUGAGAGACGUAAGGAAGUAUGUAGAAGAUUUAGACAAGAGUCAAGUGCGGCAGACGAGCGAGACAGAAGAUUUGCGACACAAGGUGGGCCGACAUGAGAGCGAAAUUAAAGACCUUCAGGGUAAGCUCAGCCGCCUGGACUCGCAACCGAAACCGCCAUCUUGCCCUCCCCCUCCGCCACCUCCUCCUCCUCCUCCGCCGCCGCCUCCACCACCACAGCCCUCAAAGCUCCCAGUCAGGACCAACAUCCAGAGAUGCGGUUCAGCCCCACCAAGUGUCGGACCGAGGCUUACUAUCACACCACAAGAUAUCGCGAAUGUUAAACUGAGGAAGACCAAGGAUAACCCAGUUCGACCAAAACCUACGCCAAAAGAACGUCCACAGCCCCUAGUUACCCAGCACAUGUUGGAGACCACGCGGGCAAAACUGGGCCGAGCCAAACCCGUGGCUUCGUCUACGCCUAAGCAACAGCUCAGCGAAUUGGAGAAAUGUCUUCUACAAGAGGUAUCAGUGACGUCACUUUACAGGCGUCGAGUGACGCGCGGCUCGUUCCGCAGUGCGGAAGAGCUCCGUCCGCGACCCUAUCCCGCCGCCAGGUGUCGCUCGCCAAGGUCGCCUCGGACUCGAACGGCGUCACUGUCCCGAAUAACCCCAAUCACCCCAAUCGAACUUUCACUUCUGUUGCCCAAAGAGUGAAGUAGAAGAAACAUUUAGUUUACGAAGUUGAGAUAUGUUUUGAGUUUUGACGUAUGUGUGUAAGCCCUGCAAAUUAUUAGCUAUUUGCAAUGCUUGGUGCGAAUUUGUUAAAGUGAGAGGUUUUUUUUUUCUUAUAGAAAAUAAUAGAUGUGACAACUUAGAUAGUUAAGUUUUGUAAAUUUUAGUUAUCUUAAAAUGAUUAUUUUUUAUUUAGUACCAUCUACAAUAAUGGAGUGAAAGUAUUUUAUUAGGCGUAGAUAUAGAUGUUAAUGACAUGCAAUUUGCAGUUGUAUUUAUCUGAAUUUAGUUUGCGGAAAUAAUUUUGAAAUAAUAUGACUUAUUUGUGUUGUAGCCAUAUUAGUAAUCUAUUACGGCACAUUGUAAAGUUUCCUUUAUAAUUAUUUUAUUUGUACGGUUUUUCGUUUUUGAUACAUUAGUUUUUCGUAUUUGUAUAUAAUAAUAUUGUUUGCUUAUCGCUAUUUGGACGUUGGUUUUAUUUAAAAGAUAAAUUACUUUUAUAAAAACAUAAGGCUGACUCGUUUUUUUGUAUGUUAUAUAUUGUAAUAGUAUUAGAUAAUAAUGAUACUGACAUUUCAAAAAACGUAAUCUGUCAAUGCUGAAUUUAAUUGAUAUAGUGCUUACGUCUUUAGGUGCAGGUACACACGGGAAUAAUUGUCAUGCAUAAGAAGAACAGUGUUUGUAAAUUGUGUUUGUGUAAUUAUUAAAACAUUCUUCUAUCUAAACAAUAGAAGCAAUAUUCAAAUACGGACAUUGAUUAAGGUCUAAGAAACGAUAUUCAUUCGUAUAACAGUACGAUGCCUCAGGAUUAUACAGGAUCUCAAAAAGAUAUGUUUCCAUUCUACAACGCUUAAUAAACGUUAGCCCCCACAAAUACCAUAGUUUUAAAAGCUGCUUGGGCACUAGGUAGGUAAGACAGGAAAUUUUAAGCGCUAACUUUUGCAAAAAAAA